CGUUGUUUGGUCCGCCAUUGUAUUGAUAAUUCGUUGGUGGAUUGUUUGGUGCUCCACCGUAGUUAUUGGGAGGCGCCCCACCAUGGUUACUGGGAGGUCCUCCGCCAUAGUUCUGUUGCGCACCUCCCAUGUUGGGCUGCUGUGGUCCUCCGCCAUAGUUUUGUGGCGCACCUCCCAUGUUGGGCUGCUGCGGUCCUCCUCCCAUGUUGGGAGGCCCUCCGCCAUAGUUUUGUGGCGCACCUCCCAUGUUGGGCUGCUGCGGUCCUCCUCCCAUGUUGGGAGGCCCUCCGCCAUAGUUUUGUGGCGCACCUCCCAUGUUGGGCUGCUGCGGUCCUCCUCCCAUGCGAGGCUGCUGCAUCCCGCCCAUGUUGGGCUGCUG
This 379-nucleotide long non-coding RNA is filed under the name Capsicum annuum. Its description in RNAcentral is "long non-coding RNA (CANN_LNC015056)". Lineage: Eukaryota; Viridiplantae; Streptophyta; Magnoliopsida; Solanales; Solanaceae. The record is from RNAcentral.